Molecule: long non-coding RNA, 154 nt
Organism: Xiphophorus hellerii (green swordtail)
Lineage: Eukaryota; Metazoa; Chordata; Actinopteri; Cyprinodontiformes; Poeciliidae
Exons: 4
Source: RefSeq, a predicted model, not a curated record
UUAGCUGUUUUGCAGUUUUUUUGCAUGUUUGUUCCAGAUUAGUGAUGCAUAAACCUGAAUGCUGCUUCUCCAUGUUUGGUUCUGGUUCUGAGGAUGAACAGCAGACAAGAACCAGAAGACUUGAGCGUUGAUAUUACAACAACAGCUCUUUUAU